RNAcentral lists this ribosomal RNA (587 nucleotides) under uncultured bacterium. RNAcentral describes it as "bacterial SSU rRNA". It matches the Rfam family "Bacterial small subunit ribosomal RNA", at positions 8 to 608 of the family's 1533-position model. The record is from RNAcentral.
AGAGUUUGAUCCUGGCUCAGGAUGAACGCUGGCGGCGUGCUUAACACAUGCAAGUCGAACGGUGAAGGAGAGCUUGCUCUUUGGAUCAGUGGCGAACGGGUGAGUAACACGUGAGCAAUCUGCCCUUGACUCUGGGAUAACAGUUGGAAACAGCUGCUAAUACCGGAUACGAGACGUGACCGCAUGGUCAACGUUUGGAAAGAACUUCGGUCAAGGAUGAGCUCACGGCCUAUCAGCUAGUUGGUGAGGUAACGGCCCACCAAGGCGACGACGGGUAGCCGGCCUGAGAGGGUGACCGGCCACACUGGGACUGAGACACGGCCCAGACUCCUACGGGAGGCAGCAGUGGGGAAUAUUGCACAAUGGGCGCAAGCCUGAUGCAGCAACGCCGCGUGAGGGACGACGGCCUUCGGGUUGUAAACCUCUUUUAGCAAGGAAGAAGCGAAAGUGACGGUACUUGCAGAAAAAGCGCCGGCUAACUACGUGCCAGCAGCCGCGGUAAUACGUAGGGCGCAAGCGUUAUCCGGAAUUAUUGGGCGUAAAGAGCUCGUAGGCGGUUUGUCGCGUCUGCUGUGAAAUCCCGAGGC